CUGCAUUUGAGGAAAUGUGCAUUUCUGGGGCAUAGAGGCAGUUAAGUAACUUUUCCAGGACCUCAUAGCUGGUGAGGGGCAGAGACAAAAAUCAAAACCCUGAGGAGCUAUUUGCAAGGUAGUCUGGGAACAGUAGCAAAGGCACAGAGGGAGUGUGGCCCUGCUAACACUAUGAUUUCAGACUUCUGGACUGCAGAACUGCAAGAGUUCUAUUGUUUUUGUUUUGUUUGUGAUGGAGUUUCACUCUUGUUGCCCAGGCUGGGCAAAGGGGACAAGCUACUUCAUUGUUAAAAAUUUGAAGUGGAGGUUCACCUCACUUCUGCUCUCAUCCAAUUGACAAACACCUCACAGGGCCAUGCCUAGCUGCAGAGGAAUCUGAGAAAUGCAGCUCUAGCUGGGCAGCCAUAUGCUUGGCCAAAACUCACUGGAAGGAAGAAGGGGGCCUGGGUACUUG
RNAcentral lists this long non-coding RNA (454 nucleotides) under Homo sapiens (human). Its description in RNAcentral is "non-protein coding lnc-CD58-7:5". Lineage: Eukaryota; Metazoa; Chordata; Mammalia; Primates; Hominidae. The record is from RNAcentral.